This 65-nucleotide transfer RNA is filed under the name Candidatus Eubacterium faecale. It matches the Rfam family "tRNA", at positions 6 to 65 of the family's 71-position model. Rfam says of the family: Transfer RNA (tRNA) molecules are approximately 80 nucleotides in length. Lineage: Bacteria; Bacillati; Bacillota; Clostridia; Eubacteriales; Eubacteriaceae. The record is from RNAcentral. RNAcentral also lists the same sequence under 3 other names.
GGAUUAGUUCAGUUGGUUAGAGCGCCAGUUUGUGGCACUGGAGGUCGUGGGUUCGAAUCCCACAU